AGCAGUAGCCGCGGUAAUACAGAGGGUGCGAGCGUUAAUCGGAUUUACUGGGCGUAAAGCGUGCGUAGGCGGCUUUUUAAGUCGGAUGUGAAAUCCCUGAGCUUAACUUAGGAAUUGCAUUCGAUACUGGGAAGCUAGAGUAUGGGAGAGGAUGGUAGAAUUCCAGGUGUAGCGGUGAAAUGCGUAGAGAUCUGGAGGAAUACCGAUGGCGAAGGCAGCCAUCUGGCCUAAUACUGACGCUGAGGUACGAAAGCAUGGGGAGCAAACAGGAUUAGAUACCCCCGUAGUCCCUGUCUCUUAUAU
This 303-nucleotide ribosomal RNA is filed under the name uncultured bacterium. RNAcentral describes it as "partial 16S ribosomal RNA". It matches the Rfam family "Bacterial small subunit ribosomal RNA", at positions 507 to 809 of the family's 1533-position model. The record is from RNAcentral.